GUUAGGUUUAGGGUUACAGUUAGGGUUAGAAUGAGUGUCAAGGGAUAGGUUUAGGGUUACAGUUAGGUUUAGGGUUACAGUUAGGGUUAGAAUGAGUGUCAGGGGUUAGGUUUACAGUUAGGUUUAGGGUUACAGUUAGGGUUAGAAUGAGUGUCAGGGGUUAGGUUUACAGUUAGGUUUAGGGUUACAGUUAGGGUUAGAAUGAGUGUCAGGGGUUAGGUUUACAGUUAGGUUUAGGGUUACAGUUAGGGUUAGAAUGAGUGUCAGGGGUUAGGUUUACAGUUAGGUUUAGGGUUACAGUUAGGGUUAGAAUGAGUGUCAGGGGUUAGGUUUACAGUUAGGUUUAGGGUUA
This is a long non-coding RNA of Oncorhynchus tshawytscha (Chinook salmon), 352 nucleotides long. NCBI's taxonomy places the organism in Eukaryota, Metazoa, Chordata, Actinopteri, Salmoniformes, Salmonidae. The record is from Ensembl.